RNAcentral lists this ribosomal RNA (492 nucleotides) under uncultured bacterium. RNAcentral's name for it is "partial 16S ribosomal RNA". It matches the Rfam family "Bacterial small subunit ribosomal RNA", at positions 29 to 507 of the family's 1533-position model. The record is from RNAcentral.
AGUGAACGCUGGCGGUAGGCCUAACACAUGCAAGUCGAACGGCAGCACAGUAAGAGCUUGCUCUUACGGGUGGCGAGUGGCGGACGGGUGAGGAAUACAUCGGAAUCUACUUUUUCGUGGGGGAUAACGUAGGGAAACUUACGCUAAUACCGCAUACGACCUACGGGUGAAAGCAGGGGAUCUUCGGACCUUGCGCGAUUGAAUGAGCCGAUGUCGGAUUAGCUAGUUGGCGGGGUAAAGGCCCACCAAGGCGACGAUCCGUAGCUGGUCUGAGAGGAUGAUAAGAGACACUGGAAAUGAGACACGGUCAAGAAUCCUACGAGAGACAGAAGUGGGGAAUAUUGGACAAUGGGCGCAAGCCUGAUCCAGCCAUACCGCGUGGGUGAAGAAGGCCUUCGGGUUGUAAAGCCCUUUUGUUGGGAAAGAAAAGCAGCAGGUUAAUACCCCGCUGUUCUGACGGUACCCAAAGAAUAAGCACCGGCUAACUUCGUG